Molecule: long non-coding RNA, 576 nt
Organism: Salvia miltiorrhiza (redroot sage)
Lineage: Eukaryota; Viridiplantae; Streptophyta; Magnoliopsida; Lamiales; Lamiaceae
Exons: 3
Source: RefSeq, a predicted model, not a curated record
UUUUCCCUACCACUAAUCUUUUUCCCUACCACCACUAAUUUGUUUUCAUACCACUACGCUUUGUAAAAAAAAAAAUAGCUUUUAGUCAUGCCCUUAUAUCCUUACUUCUCUCUGCACAACCAAAGUUGGAAUUCAUAGAAGCCUUUAAGCUCCAAGAGUAGUAUCAAAGUAAGGGAGAGCGUGGGAAACCUAGGGCGUAAAGUUAGAGUGAAGAUUGUGCUUCGAGGGCUUUGUGACCAGGGGGAUUAGCGCUGUUUUCCCAAGACAGGUUUUUAUGUGUAUGAUCUUCAGGCUUUGCCUAUCCAGGUUGGCUGGCCGGUGCUGACGGGACGGAGCUGUGGCUAGCGAUAAAUUCCUAUGUUAGACUUCCGCUGUAGCAAUUACUCUUAUACAUCUUUUGUUUUCUCAACUUAAGAUGACUUCAUGUCGAGCUUAAAUUUGAAAUUCUAGUUUUAUGCUAAAUAAUGUUGGUUGUCAGAAACAUGAAACAAAACUUGUGAUCCAAAGGGGCUUAGCCCGACUCGUUAUUUUAUUAUUCGGGUUUUAACAAGGUUGUUCCUUGUUUAUUUCUAUGAA